GACGAACGCUGGCGGCGUGCUUAACACAUGCAAGUCGAACGCUAACGCUUGGUACUUGUUCCACUUGUGUGAGCAGGGUACGGAUGAGUUACGUGUGGGUCUUCUGCCUUUGAGUGGGGGAUAACAUUCGGAAACGAAUGCUAAUACCGCCUAAUAACUUUAACCAUGGGAUUUAAGUUUUCGUGCGGCUAUUGCUUCACUCACAGCUGAUCCCGCGUUGUGUUAGCUAGUUGGGGGGGUAAAGGCUCACCAAGGCGAUGAUACAUAGCCGACCGUAGAGGGUGGGCGGCCACAUUGGGACGGAGACACCGCCCAAAAUCCCGAGGGAGGGAGCAGUAGGGAAACUUUGGCAAUGGGCGGAAGUCUGACUAAGCAACGCCGCGGGAGAGGAAAAAGGCUUCCGAUCGGAAAACUGUGUUGGUAGGGAACAACGUGGGUCAGGAUGGAAAUCGCAGCUAGUGACGGUAACUACACAAAAAGCAACGGCUAACUACGUG
RNAcentral lists this ribosomal RNA (497 nucleotides) under uncultured bacterium. RNAcentral describes it as "partial 16S ribosomal RNA". It matches the Rfam family "Bacterial small subunit ribosomal RNA", at positions 28 to 507 of the family's 1533-position model. The record is from RNAcentral.